Mycena latifolia is the source of this 86-nucleotide non-coding RNA. The record is from the annotation of a GenBank genome assembly. NCBI's taxonomy places the organism in Eukaryota, Fungi, Basidiomycota, Agaricomycetes, Agaricales, Mycenaceae.
GGCCGUAUAGCUUAGUGGUAUAGCGUGGACUGUUGCUAAGCUCUCAAAUUUAGUCCCUGACAUGGGUUCGAACCCCACUGUGGCCU